RNAcentral lists this ribosomal RNA (253 nucleotides) under uncultured bacterium. RNAcentral's name for it is "partial 16S ribosomal RNA". It matches the Rfam family "Bacterial small subunit ribosomal RNA", at positions 524 to 776 of the family's 1533-position model. The record is from RNAcentral.
UACGUAGGUGGCUAGCGUUGUCCGGAUUUACUGGGCGUAAAGAGCGCGCAGGCGGUCGUUCAAGUCGAGUGUGAAAGCCCCCGGCUCAACUGGGGAGGGUCACUCGAUACUGAUCGACUCGAAGGCAGGAGAGGGAAGCGGAAUUCCGGGUGUAGCGGUGAAAUGCGUAGAUAUCCGGAGGAACACCGGUGGCGAAGGCGGCUUCCUGGACCGACACUGACGCUGAGGCGCGAAAGCUAGGGGAGCAAACGGG